CCCGGCACGGGGAGGUAGUGACGAAAAAUAACGAUACGGGACUCAUCCGAGGCCCCGUAAUCGGAAUGAGUACACUUUAAAUCCUUUCAUGAGGAUCCAUUGGAGGGCAAGCCUGGUGCCAGCAGCCGCGGUAAUUCCAGCUCCAAUAGCGUAUAUUAAAGUUGUUGCGGUUAAAAAGCUCGUAGUUGGUUCUGUGUGCCAUGCUGUUGGUUCACCGCCUGUCGGUGCAACUAACAUGUCAUGGAACGUCUUGUCGGUGGUAAUUAAAGACUUAUUUUUUAGUAAAAGUUUAUACUUGAACUAUAAAUAGGUUCCUUUAAUUACCGAUUAGUUCCUACCGCGGUGCUCUUCAUUGAGUGUCGAGGUCGGCCGACAAGUUUACUUUGAACAAAUUAGAGUGCUCAAAGCAGGCAAAAGUCUGCCUUGAAUAGUGGUGCAUGGAAUAAUAGAAUAGGACCUUGGUUCUAUUUUGCUGGUUUUCUGAAUCCAAGGUAAUGAUCAAUAUGGACAGGCGGGGGCAUUCGUAUUGCGACGUUAGAGGUGAAAUUCUUGGAUCGUCGCAAGACGAACUAGAGCGAAAGCAUUUGCCAAGUAUGUCUUAAUUGAUCAAGAACGAAAGUUAGAGGUUCGAAGGCGAUCAGAUACCGCCCUAGUUCUAACCAUAAACGAUGCCAGCUAGCGAUCCGCCGAUGUUUUUCUCAUGACUCGACGGGCAGCUCCCCGGGAAACCAAAGCUUUUGGGUUC
RNAcentral lists this ribosomal RNA (745 nucleotides) under Membracioides sp. UCR ENT 00077334. RNAcentral describes it as "SSU rRNA". It matches the Rfam family "Eukaryotic small subunit ribosomal RNA", at positions 450 to 1114 of the family's 1831-position model. The record is from RNAcentral. Lineage: Eukaryota; Metazoa; Arthropoda; Insecta; Hemiptera; Schizopteridae.